GUUUGAUCCUGGCUCAGGAUGAACGCUGGCGGCGUGCUUAACACAUGCAAGUCGAACGUGAGAAUAGCAAUAUUUGAAAGUGGCAAACGGGUGAGUAACACGUGGGAACCUGCCUCGAAGUGGGGGAUAACGAUUGGAAACGGUCGCUAAUACCGCACGGUUCUGCUCUGAUGGGAAUGGAGCAGAUAAAGAUUUAUCGCUUUGAGAGGGGCCCGCGGCCGAUUAGCUAGUUGGUAAGGUAAAGGCUUACCAAGGCGAUUAUCGGUAGCUGGUCUGAGAGGACGAUCAGCCACACGGGAACUGAGACACGGUCCCGACUCCUACGGGGGGCAGCAGUGAGGAAUAUUGGGCAAUGGGCGAAAGCCUGACCCAGCAACGCCGCGUGGAGGAUGAAGGCUUUAGGGUUGUAAACUCCUUUUGUGGGGGAAAAGAAUGGAUGGUACCCCAAGAAUAAGUCACGGCUAACUACGUGCCAGCAGCCGCGGUAAUACGUAGGUGACAAGCGUUAUCCGGAAUUACUGGGCGUAAAGCGCACGCAGGCGGUCAGAUAAGUCUGAUGUGAAACCUUCUGGCUUAACCAGAAGACGUCGUUGGAUACUGUUUGACUUGAGGCGAUGAGAGGAAUGCGGAAUCCCCGGUGUAAUGGUGGAAUAUGUAGAUAUCGGGGGGAACAUCUGAGGCGAAAGCGGCAUUCUGGCAUUAGCCUGACGCUCAUGUGCGAAAGCGUGGGGAGCAAACGGGAUUAGAUACCCCGGUAGUCCACGCUGUAAACGAUGAAUACUAGGCGUAGGUGGAGUUAAACCCAUCUGUGCCGAAGCCAACGCAUUAAGUAUUCCGCCUGGGAAGUACGGCCGCAAGGCUAAAACUCAAAGGAAUUGACGGGGGCCCGCACAAGCAGCGGAGCGUGUGGUUU
This 913-nucleotide ribosomal RNA is filed under the name uncultured bacterium. RNAcentral's name for it is "bacterial SSU rRNA". It matches the Rfam family "Bacterial small subunit ribosomal RNA", at positions 11 to 947 of the family's 1533-position model. The record is from RNAcentral.